Molecule: ribosomal RNA, 468 nt
Filed under: uncultured bacterium
Lineage: Bacteria
Description: partial 16S ribosomal RNA
Rfam family: Bacterial small subunit ribosomal RNA
Source: RNAcentral
GACGAACGCUGGCGGCGUGCUUAACACAUGCAAGUCGAACGGAAAGGCCCUGCUUUUGUGGGGUUCUCGAGUGGCGAACGGGUGAGUAACACGUGAGUAACCUGCCCUUGACUUUGGGAUAACUUCAGGAAACUGGGGCUAAUACCGGAUAGGAGCUCCUGCUGCAUGGUGGGGGUUGGAAAGUUUCGGCGGUUGGGGAUGGACUCGCGGCUUAUCAGCUUGUUGGUGGGGUAGUGGCUUACCAAGGCUUUGACGGGUAGCCGGCCUGAGAGGGUGACCGGCCACAUUGGGACUGAGAUACGGCCCAGACUCCUACGGGAGGCAGCAGUGGGGAAUAUUGCACAAUGGGCGGAAGCCUGAGGCAGCAACGCCGCGUGCGGGAUGACGGCCUUCGGGUUGUAAACCGCUUUCGCCUGUGACGAAGCGUGAGUGACGGUAAUGGGUAAAGAAGCACCGGCUAACUACGUG